GUGCUUGCUUUGCAGCACAUGUACUAGCAUGGGAUGAAGAUGAGCGUGGUCCCCGCGUAAAGAUGACACACAGAUGCAAGAAAAGACUGAGUUACUG
This 97-nucleotide small nuclear RNA is filed under the name Tupaia belangeri (northern tree shrew). The record is from RNAcentral. Lineage: Eukaryota; Metazoa; Chordata; Mammalia; Scandentia; Tupaiidae.